Molecule: long non-coding RNA, 4273 nt
Organism: Zalophus californianus (California sea lion)
Lineage: Eukaryota; Metazoa; Chordata; Mammalia; Carnivora; Otariidae
Exons: 3
Source: RefSeq, a predicted model, not a curated record
CGUACAGGUCUAUCCUGGACUUUGGGUAAAUACCUUUUCUCAUGGUAAAGAUCCGUGGGUAAGAUUGCUGGGUAGCGCGGGGAAGAGUCAUGCUUAACUUUGUAAGAAUCUAACAAAUCCUUCUUCAGAGUAAUUGUCCUGGUCUGCCUUCCCAGCAACAAUGUAUGAGAAUUCCAGCAGAAAGCAAAUGGAAUCCUGAUCAAGAAAUACAGGAAGCGAAUGAAGAGAAUCAUAAUACAAAUAAUUACAGUGAAAAUCCAUCCUUGGAUCUUCAGCAGGGUGGAGCUCUGUGUUCCAGGAUUCCUCACCCGCGAGCCUCAGGCCAGGGUCGACCUGUUUUAUUCCCUUCACUGAUCCAUCCUGCGGCCGGCCACAGACACCCGAAAGCAGGGACUUCCGUCCUCCUGUAGAUGGGUGCUGAGCAGCAAGCAGCUUCCAGCUCAAGGGAGCGAGCCAGAAAGUCAGCUGAAGCCAGGGAUCUGCUCCAAGACCAGUCAGCCGCUCUGGGCAUCAAACUCAGGAGUCUGGUUAGCAAGUUGGACCAAGUCCCGUGGAACUGAGUCACGAGGGACCAAGGAUGGCUAUCAUUUGCACCCCCAGAUCAUCGCAAUCAGUCUUCCACCACAUAUGCUCCAAGUCUGGGGAUGUCUCACUCUGCCCUGAUGCCCUGGAGAGAGGCGCCUUCUUGCUGCAUUUUCUUCAUGUUUAGGCAACACAUCCCCCAUUGACUCGAUGACGUCCCUUCCGCCUGGCAGAGCCCAGUGCAGUCUCCCUUCCUUUCAACACCGCCUCCAUUAGAAGAGUGAGGCGCUGAUGUUGAUACCCCAUGCCCGCAUAUCUUUCCUCCCACAGCCUGCAUGUUGUGUUUGUGACCUCACUUUUGAAAUUAACAUAUUCACCUGCCGGAUCCUUCUCCGUGUGCCGAGCCACUGGAGGGCAGUCGCUACAGCUCUAGGGAGGCAGCCCGGAUCCCACAAUGUGGUCUUUGACUUUGACUUUAGGAUGCCCUCUCCAAUGACUGCAGUUCUCUUAUCAGUGUUGACCACAUCAUCUUCUUCCUUUAUAACCACCGACAGUACCUGGGCUGAAGCCUAUGCACACAAAGAAUGUUUGAUAAAUAUUGACCGAUUGUUCUUUGUUCAAUAACUUAUCCACCUAUAGGAGCUCAGCAAAUAUUAACACUUUGGUAAAACCCCUCAAGUCGUUCAAAACAAGAUAUCGCAGAGCGCUAUGUAUGUAUGAAUAAUCUGCUAAUGAACCACAGUAUUAACUUCUUGCCAUUUGAUAUGCAAAACAGGGCUAUUACGAGUCUCGAGACCUGGUGGGUACCUUUAUAACUAAGAACUACAGGGAGGCAUUGGUCACUGAGGCUGGCUCUUGCCUGUCAUGUUGCCAUUCUUUGUGAACUCACACUUUGCUUUCAGUUCCCCGAUGGAUUAUAUACUCAAUACGGUGCAUACAUGACAGCAGGGCAAAAGCAUUCUUUGAAACGUUGAUGUGAUGGCGAGUAACGACAGAGUGAGUGUGAGAGAUAUACUGGUUUCGAAGCCAACAAAAGUCCAUGUGGCACCUUUAACACAAACCAGCCAGAAUCCCUGUGAGGAGCAGCCCUGCAGAGGGGGCUGGCUGUGAGGAAUUUCUCCCCCCUCCCCACCCCGAGGAAUCUCCCUCCCCUGCAUAGACAGGUGCAAGGAAGCAUGUGGAGAAUCUGGCCCAGGUCAUCUGGCACAUUCUCUUUGAUGGUUCAAUAUGUUUUUUGCUUUUGGCAAACAAUGCAUUUCUUAAGGAUGGGAUCUGCUUUCAAUUUCUUUUGAAUUCCCUAAAAACUAAUGCAGCUGAGCUAAAACUUGGGAUGUGGUGGAAAGAAUCAGGUAUGAUAUAAGGUUGCCUUUUAUGAGAUGUGAGAUACUUUCAAUUCUGAUCAUUCUUAUGCUAACUUUUAGUGAAAAAUCUAAUGGGCCAUUUUUCCUCCUCUGAUGGAUUAGUGCUCAUUUCUAGAAAGUCAGAAUCACAAUCUGUAGUUUAUUCUCUCUGACGGACUUUGAAGUCAAGGCUGAGAUGGUACACAGCAGGGGACACACCAGCAGCAUAUUUGGGUUCAGAGAUUAAUAGUAUGAACCCACGAUCGCUUCCUCGGUGCUCCCCUGCUGGGAUACCAAGUCACGCUCAAGCACGCUCUUCCUCCCCGACCCGGGACAUAGUCAGGUCUUCAUAUCGAGCAGAUUCGGCAAACCUACUAAUACGGAGAGAAAGUUGAGAUUGCGCUGCAGAGGCCCAGGAACCUAGGAAUCAAAAUCAGAAAACUUGGAAUGACUGGAGCCGUCAUUUGCUAUUAAGAUGGAUGCUGGACGGGAUUCCAGAGUGGUCCCUCCCUCAUCCCGGACCAGAUAAACCCCUUUGAUAUUGACCAGGCAUCCCGGACGGAACACUAAAAUGGCUCCUCCAGACCAGGCCCCCAGUGUUCAGAUCCCGAGCCUCAGAGCUGGCUUCUCCCAGGCUUGGUCACUCUCAGCGCUUUCUCCCCUUGCUUCCCAAACCGCUUUAUGGUAUCUGGAUUGUUUAAAUAACAAUUUUCAGCAGCCAGAUUUCAAAUCCUCUUUCUUAGAGAAACAGUAUGUAAGGUAGGGUGCUCCUCUCUAUAUACACACCACCCAGAUUUAUUCAUGUUGGACUUUUGUUCUAUUUGCCUUGAUACCUCUCAUUUUAUAAAAAGAAAUAAAACAAGGAAAGUACCACCUUUACCUGUUCUUUCCCCUCCCUUCCUGGAGUUAACCACCAUUUUGAAGUCAGUGUAUCUUAUUCCUAUGCAUACCCCUAAACAGUAUGUGGUGCUUUUUGUUGUUGUUUUUUAAAUAAUCAGAAAUGGCAUUAUAAUAUACAAGCUUUUGAUCUUAUAUUUUACACUUUAGAAAUUUAUUCUUAUUGAUAAAAAUAGGUCUGAUGCAUUCAUUUUCAGGUGGGGUGCAUUCCCCUAUUGAUUAGCAAUUAUGUAUAUUAUCCCCAGUGUCUUCCUAUCAAAACAAUAUGCACUUGUUUCAUUUACUAGGUAUUGUCAAAAUGCUUGCCCAAGUAGAUGCACUAAUUACAUUCAGCAACUUUGAGGAAGAGUUCCUUUUUCUCCAUACCCUUGUCAGUAUUUUGUGACAUGGGUACAAUCCAUGUGAGCGAAAUGGUGUGUAAAUGUUAGUUUCUUUUGUCAUUCCCAACUGUGAGGGACAUUGGGUCUCUUUCCAUCCUUUACAGUAAAUUACCUCUGCGUGUAUUUUAAAAACUGUUGUUUGUCUUUUUCUUCUUGGUUUGUAGAAAUUCUUUAUGUAUCCUCGAUAGUGAUCCUUUGUCGAUUGCAUGGGUUUUAAAUAUCUUUUCCUAGUUUGUGGCUUGGCUUUUUUAUUCACCUGUCACGUCUUGCUGAAUAGGUAGCCUGAAUAUUAAUUGAAUCAAGCCUAUCAACUGUACCUUCACGACAUCUGUGAUUUUAGAAAAUCUCAAGAAAUCUUUAAAACCACAAAAUUAUAGGACACAAAGUUAAUAUAGAAAUGGAUUGUGUUUUUACAUAUCAGCAGCAAACAAUUGGAAGUAAUCACCCGAGCAUAAAGGCAAUCUUACUUCUGCUUUCUAAUCUUUAUGCCUUUUUUUUCUUCUUGCCUUAUUACAUCUAUGAGAACCACCCUUACAAUGUUAAAUAGAAAUGAGAGUAAGAAUCCUUGCCUUGGUCCCAGAGUCUUACAGGGAGAAGGCUCAUAUUUUACCGUGAAGAAUGGUGCUGAGGUGUGUUUUGGUAGAUGCCCUUUAUCAGAUGAUGAAUGGUCCUCUCUAUUCUUAGUUGUCUGAGAGUCUUCACCAUGUGUGAGUUUGACUUUUGUUAGAUGCUUUUAACACGUUUGUUGAAAUGAUCACAGUUUUUGUUUUCAUUUUUUCUAUUAAUGUGGUGAAUUGCACUGAUUGAUUAUCUGAUGUUAAACCUACCUUGUUAUCGUUAGAUAAACCCUUGUCACCCAUGAUGUGUUACUGUUUAUGGUAUGUUGCUGGAUUCAGCUUGCGAAUAUUUUGUUAAGUUUCUCUGAAUCUAUGUUUGUGAUGGUCUUUCAUAAUUCAUAAAAUAUUAGCCAGGUUUUGGUAGUAGAUUUAUGCUGGCCCCACAAAAUGAUCUGGGAAACAGUCCUUCCUCAUCUUCUUUCUUAGUUUGUGUGAGAUAGGAGCUCUUUGACAGAAUGACACGGUGAAACCAUCUGAACCUGAAAUUUACUUUGCGGGAAAGAUUUUGAUAGUAACU